Molecule: transfer RNA, 60 nt
Filed under: Ectopsocopsis cryptomeriae
Lineage: Eukaryota; Metazoa; Arthropoda; Insecta; Psocodea; Ectopsocidae
Description: tRNA-Arg
Source: RNAcentral
UAGUAAGAAGCAAAAUUUGCAUUUAGUUUCGACCUAAAAAUUUAGUAUUUACUCUACUAU